GGAUAGGACUAAGACAUGCUAGUCAAGCGCUCGCCAGCCAAAGGUGAGUGCGGCGCACAGCUCAGUAGCACGUGGCUAACCUGCCCUCAGGAUAGGGACAACCCCGGGAAACUGGGGCUAAUCCCCAAUAGGUGAAGUGCUCUGGAAUGAGCCUUCGCCGGAAAGGACGUCUGUGCUAUGCUCGCAGGCUUUGCCUGAGGAUGGGGCCGCGACCGAUCAGGUUGUUGGUGAGGUAAUGGCUCACCAAGCCUUUAACCGGUGCGGGCCGUGAGAGCGGGAGCCCGGAGAUGGGCACUGAGACAAAGGCCCAGGCCCUACGGGGCGCAGCAGUCGCGCAAACUUUGCAAUACACGAAAGUGUGACAGGGCUAUCCCGAGUGCCGUCCGCUGAGGAUGGCUUUUACCUAGUCUAGAACGCUGGGGGAAUAAGGAGAGGGCAAGUCUGGUGUCAGCCGCCGCGGUAAUACCAGCUCUCCGAGUGGUGUGGAUGUUUAUUGGGCCUAAAGCAUCCGUAGCUGGCCAAGUUAGUCCCCUGUUAAGCCCACCGAAUUAAUCGUUGGUUUGCGGGGGAUACUGCUCGGCUAGGGGACGAGAGAGGCAGACGGUAUUUUCGGGGUAGGGGUGAAAUCCUAUAAUCCCGGGAAGACCACCAGUGGCGAAGGCUGUCUGCUAGAACGCGCCCGACGGUGAGGGAUGAAAGCUGGGGGAGCGAACCGGAUUAGAUACCCGGGUAGUCCCAGCUGUAAACGAUGCAGGCUAGGUGUUUGGACGGCCACGUGCCGUUCUAGUGCCGCAGGGAAGCUGUUAAGCCUGCCGCCUGGGGAGUACGGUCGCAAGAUUGAAACUUAAAGGAAUUGGCGGGGGAGCACCACAAGGGGUGAAGCUUGCGGUUUAAUUGGAUUCAACGCCGGG
Molecule: ribosomal RNA, 911 nt
Filed under: uncultured archaeon
Lineage: Archaea
Description: bacterial SSU rRNA
Rfam family: Archaeal small subunit ribosomal RNA
Source: RNAcentral